This 448-nucleotide ribosomal RNA is filed under the name uncultured bacterium. RNAcentral's name for it is "partial 16S ribosomal RNA". It matches the Rfam family "Bacterial small subunit ribosomal RNA", at positions 1044 to 1494 of the family's 1533-position model. The record is from RNAcentral.
CAUGGCUGUCGUCAGNUNGUGUCGUGAGAUGUUCGGUUAAGUCCGGCAACGAGCGCAACCCUCGCCUCCAGUUACCAGCGAGUAAAGUCGGGGACUCUGGAGGGACUAACCCGUUAGGGUGGGAAGGUGGGGAUGACGUCAAGUCAGUAUGGCCCUUACAUNUAGGGCUGCACACGUGNUNCAAUGCCUGGUACAAAAGGAACCAAUACCGCGAGGUGGAGGAAAUCCNUAAAGCCAGGCCCAGUUCAGAUUGGAGUNUGCAACUCGACUCCAUGAAGCCGGAAUCGCUAGUAAUGGUAGAUCAGNUACGCUACCGUGAAUACGUUCCCGGGCCUUGUACACACCGCCCGUCACAUCAUGAAAGCCGCUUCCGCCNGAAGUAUCCGAGCCAACCGCAAGGGGGCAGGGUCNUNNNNCAGGGGUGGUGAUUGGGAUGAAGUCGUAACAA